Molecule: long non-coding RNA, 607 nt
Organism: Artibeus jamaicensis (Jamaican fruit-eating bat)
Lineage: Eukaryota; Metazoa; Chordata; Mammalia; Chiroptera; Phyllostomidae
Exons: 2
Source: RefSeq, a predicted model, not a curated record
CCUGGGCCGGGCCGGGGCUUUGGAGGCUGCCUGGGAGGAAUGAGGCCGGCCUCCAGAGUGGGCCAAGUGCCUGGGAAAAAUGCAGUGCGGGAGCCAGGAGGAAGGCCACCUGAGAGAGGACGUGGUCACCGAGAAACGUGGGGGCAGACGGCAUGGGAGUUCAGGAACGCCAUCAGCAUCAGGGAGAGACGGAAAAAGCCAAGACUGGUUCUCAACUUUUUGGAUUCCCAACACAUUUUCAAACACUGGAAAUUCUGACGAGGGGACCUUUCUUAAAGCUGUAUGUGCGCACGACUGAGGACAAUAUCCAGUUUCCGAAGGGAAACGCAGGGAGGAGCGGAUGACAGCUACAAUCGGCACCUCUGGCUAUUCACAGGGCAGGGAUUCCAGAGGCCUGUCCAGGGCACCAGGGCCGCCCCAGCCCCUUCCUCCACGAGGGACGUGUUCUGAGACCCCCAGUGGAUGCCUGAAACCAGAGACAGCUCUGAGCCUACGCACUCGUACACCAUAUUCUCCUUGCAUACACAUGUCUGUCAGAGUCUAAUUUAUAAGUUAGGCUCAUAUGAGAUUAACAACAAUAACUAAUAAAAUUUAAAAAGUAUAACAA